GUCCUUGUAGCUUACUUUUAAAGCACUGUUUUUGUAAACCAGAGAUGGGCCACCACCCUUAGGACA
Molecule: transfer RNA, 66 nt
Filed under: Amerotyphlops reticulatus (reticulate worm snake)
Lineage: Eukaryota; Metazoa; Chordata; Lepidosauria; Squamata; Typhlopidae
Description: tRNA-Thr
Source: RNAcentral